RNAcentral lists this ribosomal RNA (157 nucleotides) under uncultured Tomentella. RNAcentral describes it as "5.8S ribosomal RNA". It matches the Rfam family "5.8S ribosomal RNA". Rfam says of the family: 5.8S ribosomal RNA (5.8S rRNA) is a component of the large subunit of the eukaryotic ribosome. It is transcribed by RNA polymerase I as part of the 45S precursor that also contains 18S and 28S rRNA. The record is from RNAcentral. Lineage: Eukaryota; Fungi; Basidiomycota; Agaricomycetes; Thelephorales; Thelephoraceae.
AACUUUCAGCAACGGAUCUCUUGGCUCUCGCAUCGAUGAAGAACGCAGCGAAAUGCGAUAAGUAAUGUGAAUUGCAGAAUUCAGUGAAUCAUCGAAUCUUUGAACGCACCUUGCGCCCUUUGGCUAUUCCGAAGGGUAUGCCUGUUUGAGUAUCAUG